Molecule: non-coding RNA, 97 nt
Filed under: pig gut metagenome
Description: NiCo riboswitch
Rfam family: NiCo (Nickel/Cobalt) riboswitch aptamer
Source: RNAcentral
ACAGUACAAACUGAGCAGGCAGUAGCCGGAAGUGAGGCUAUCAGCCGGGCCGUUAACACGGCAGCAGAUGAGAAUACAGAAGCAUCUGUGGGACAGU